Puntigrus tetrazona (Sumatra barb) is the source of this 2901-nucleotide long non-coding RNA. RefSeq lists it as uncharacterized. The transcript is spliced from 7 exons. The record is from RefSeq and is a predicted model, not a curated record. NCBI's taxonomy places the organism in Eukaryota, Metazoa, Chordata, Actinopteri, Cypriniformes, Cyprinidae.
GCUUUUGGCUUCGCAAAAUGUUACUUUAAGAACUAGAGCGGUGUGGAUUAUCGUGAUUAUCAGCUCAUUCUGACGGCACCCAUUCACUGCAUUUCCUUUUUUCCGAAUCCGUCGUAGAUACAAACUCGCCUCGCAUACGCCGAGCGCGCAUUCCCUCAGGCCUGGAGAACAAUGCACUUUCUGAAGCGAGAGUUUCCCUGGGUCUGUUAUUUUGCGUGCAGCCACGAAGCAGAGCCGAUUAUGGAGCUCCUCGAUCCUCGGCAGGGGCUCGGACGGCGCGAAACAAAAGGCCGGCGCGCGCAGACCUCCGGUUCUGUCGUGGCAUGUUGCAUAUGCCUUCCUGUACAGGAGCGUGUUCUCCUCUCUGAAAUCAGCUGAGCGAGGUGCCCUGCGCCCGCGGGUUCCUGCCAGCCGUGGCGAAUGAAUUUCGACAGCUGCGCGGCCACAGAUAGUCACAUUGUGUCAUGGCGGAGCAGGGGCCGAGGAGAGGGAGGAAUACGGGAGAGCUGGAGCCUCUCGCUGCUGACCUGAGACCUGUCAAAGCCCCUUCAGCCUGCUGCGGCUUCACGUCAACAACAUCUGCUAACAAUCUGCCUACAAUUAGUCAGAUGCCCGGGAAGGUUUCGUCAAGCGACACCUGUUCAUUCUGCCAUCGCAGGCGGACACCUUCUGGCAGAGGGCCGGAUUAAACGCAGCGAUUUCUGCUAAAAUACAGAAAAUAGCGCAGUUUCUCAUCUGUCACAGGGAAGUCACAAGUGAUGUUUGCUAUUUUUUUAUAUAUGCUCCCGGUUUUAGUGUGCAUGAUUCAUCUGUGCACAUAAAACCGCUCGUAAUCUUUCAUCAAAAUGUAAUAACCUGCUCUGAAAUGUUCCUUUUCAGCUGACGUGAUCAAUCGGGGUCAGUCCAAUUGGCAAGCGUCUCGCUAAGGCCUUCAGGAAAUGUGGAUGGUACCAGCAAACACGCUGUGCGACGAUCACGCUUUAUCGUACGCUAUCUUUGGGCUAUCUUUCCGGGACAGCUGGAAAUCAUGCAGCGCGUUUCGGGGCCGAAGAGAUCGCAUCAAGAGAGUUGUGAGAUUUUUCAGAAGCGGCUCGUCUCCGUUCUUCUCAUUCGCGGUGGCAUUGUCUGACGCGCAUCUGGAGUUUCGCGACUAGGCCCGAGCGAAACUCUCGAAGAAGUCGUAAUCGAAUCUAAUUUCAAAGGCCGAGCGUCCUCCGUGUUCCUGGAUCGGUGCGCAGGUGGCAGAUGGUGAGGUGAAAACCCGAUCCGCUGACUUUUGGCUCUGGAUGCAGUAUAGAGGACCAGAGGAAGAUGAAGGCAACUUUGAUGUCUCAUUCAGCCGUCCGUUUGAUGUCACUCCGUUAUCCAGGAGCAAAGAUGGAUUCGCUGCUAAGAAUUUGCAAAAGCAGACAACUGAUCUUUUGAAGAAGUGCAGCUUUAAAAGGCUUUGUGCCUGCCAUAUCUUAAUGGAGACAUAUUUUCACUUGUUCGCAAAUUGGGUGUUUCUUCAACUACAGACACUUUUAUAUCCCACGGAUUUAUUCUUAUUCUAGCUGACAGAUUUCAACUUUUUUUUUGAUUUACGAAGGCCGCAUUAAAUCGUCUUGGAAGCGUUUUUACUACCACUUCAUCUUUUUUUUUUGUUACGAUUUUUGUGUAUAGAUUUUUUUUUCUCCAGACUUCAGUCUUAUCAAAUAUUUAUCACAUCCCCCCCAAAAAAUGAUGCCGUAUUGAAGCGAGUGCAUUAAUGAGCGUCGGCUCGAGACGUGUGAAACUCCUUAAGGCACGGCCAAACUUAAAUUAGCACAAAACGGUCACAUGUCAGCCUUUAAACCACGCAAUCGGCCGUACUUGCGUUUUUAACAAAAUAAAAGCAUCGGAUGCAGUCGGUCUCUUUGAAUUCCCUAUAAACAGCUUUUAUCGGGGAGUUUUGAGGACGGAAAGACAAGAAGGCAGUGUAAAGCCGGCACGAGUGCAGGAUAAUACCGGCUGCUUAUCACUGGAUAGCCAUCGACUCACUGAUAUGAAGGUUGCGGUGAAAGAUGACCUAUUGCUUAUUGACAGUCAACCGUCAAAACAGACCUGCAACCGGUUUCUGAAAACCAGGGCUUUAAGAUCCAAUUAAUCCCCGGGGAGACGGUACGGGAGAAGCUGCAGCCGACACAAAGAUGAAGCUUGUUUUACCUCAGAUCAUGGCAAACUGAAACAUUUGUCUCCUGAGCACUCGUCGCCUUCUCUCUCGUGUUCUUGCAGAGCCGGUUUCAUCCCGGGUGACAGGAUCCGCUUCGACAGACGAAGGCUUUUAAACGCCGCUGAAAAAUUACUCGGCACGGCAGGUGUUUGCUGUUUGUUUUCAAUUCCCAUUAGUCUCUUCAGACUGGAUUUGGCGGGCCUCUCUAACCUGGGCCAGGCUGGGUAAACUGCGUCUAGCCGCGGUCUCGGCGGAUAGUCGCUGGAAUCAGGAGGGUCUUGUGGUAAACACGCGGCUCUCAGCGUGUCCCGCCGCUGCUCUUUGAAGCUCUGCUGUGUGAUGGCUGGCAGCACUACACACGGCCACCAGACAGGAGUUUAUGCUAAACGUGUUUUCCAGCGUAAAAUCACUUUGUAGUAGCUGCUGCUGCUUCCCUCGAGUCUCUGCAUUCGAGAGCAAAUGCUAAUGGAAAGUAAGCGAUGCAGUAAGUUGGUUAUGCGUCGUAUAAACAUGCAUGGAACAAAAAGCAUGUUGCGUGAAAACAUCACUCUAACUUAGGCGUUUUUAUUUCUAAAAUUAGUUUGCUUUAUUCAACCAAGUCUACAGAAAUAUAAAGAAUAAUUGGUGGAGAGUGCAAAUGAUGGAUAUGCUUUUUUUAUUAAUUGUUUCCUAACAUUGCAAUCGUUCUGCAUGCUUUUUAGUAUAUUAGC